RNAcentral lists this ribosomal RNA (492 nucleotides) under uncultured bacterium. RNAcentral's name for it is "partial 16S ribosomal RNA". It matches the Rfam family "Bacterial small subunit ribosomal RNA", at positions 28 to 507 of the family's 1533-position model. The record is from RNAcentral.
GGUGAACGCUGGCGGUGGGCCUAACACAUGCAAGUCGAACGGCAGCACCGUACGAGCUUGCUCUUACGGGUGGCGAGUGGCGGGCGGGUGAGGAAUACAUCCUAAUCUACUUUUUCGUGGGGGUUAACGUAGGUAAGCUUAAGCUAGUACAGCAUACGCCCUACGGGUGUAAGCAGUGGAUCUUUGGACCUUGCGCGGUUGAAUGCGCCGAUGUGGGAUUAGCUAGUUGGCGGGGUAAUGGCCCAGCAAGGCGAGGAUCGGUGGCUCGUCGGAGAGGAGGGUCGGCGACACUGGAACUGAGACACGGUCCAGACUCCUAAGGGAGGGACCAGUGGGGAACAGUGGACAAUGGGGGCAAGCCUUAUCCAGCCAUACCGCGUGGGUUAAGAAGGCCUUCGGUGUGGAAAGCCCGUCUUUUGGGAAAGAAAAGCAGCAGGUUAAGACCCAGCGGGUCUGACGGUACCCAAUGAAUAAGCACCGGCUAACUUCGUG